AACAGGAACUACACAAAAACUAAUACAGUAAUCUGGCCAUGCCCCGAUAGUGUAUAAUAUUAAAGAAAGUGAAAUUAUGGUUCUAAUGUUUGUUUUCCUGAAAACACUACUUUUAUGACCAGAACAUGAGCAUAGUAUGCUACCAUUGAAAAUUUAUCUGACAUAAUUUGACACAAAAGUAGAAUCCGUUUUAAAUGUAUUACCACAAUGCAUUUGUCCUGAAGAUUGUGUUUAUAACACAUUGCUUUUCAGUAUUUCCAAAACAUUAUACGCUUAACGCUGAAGAUCUGAAAAACACAAUCAUAAUAAAAGAAAACAUCCCACAACCCAAAGAUAUAAUUUGCCGGUAUACUUCCUGAUAUUUUUACAUAUACAAAUGGCCCCUAAUGCUAUCUAGUUUCCAGUUAUGGUAACUAAAUGGUCACAUUAACACUUUUUAAAAAAGAUCUUUCCCAAUUAUUAAGAACUCACACAUAUUUGUCCAUCUUAGAUCACUUAAUCAUCCUAUCAUCACUGUUUUAAGACAAAAAAAAUCUUAUUACUUCUAGGAACUUCAUCUCAAAUAGCAUCCCCAUCCCCUCUCUGACUGACUUUACCUGUAUAACUUGCAUUCUAUUAAGCAUAAGAUGAUUAAAUUGGCUGCAAAAGCCAGAAGGGACUUUUAAUGAAUUUACACACUAAGAAUUGUGACAACUAUGUCUUGAUCCAAUAUGAAAGUUUCUUAGAUGUUGAAUCUCCAUUAAAAAUUAUUCCAGAGGCCAGGCGCGAUGGUCUUAAUAUGUGCCUAGGUAUAUGAGUCAUGCAGAUAUCUAAGAGGAAGAAACUAUUCUGCACUAUUCUGGGUGACACGAUAUCCACAGCUCUGAUGACAUUGUUCUCUCCACACAGAGAAGAAACUAUAAAUAGAACCCUAAGCAUCAUGUUCCACAUAUCAAAGAAGGAGAUACAAACUAUUUUUGGAAUACAAAUAAAGCUUUAGUAACAUGAAAUAAAACACCUGUCAAUAAGAGACAUUAAUCUAUUCUACAAAAAUAAGAACUUUUUAAAAAGAAAUAUGGCCUUUAAUCAGAGAUGAUGUAAUGACAUAUCAAAUCAAUGUCAACACCCUGAGAAAAGCCAUCUCCUACUGCACAAUUACCCUGCCAUUCUCAGUCGAAGACUGUCCUCUAUUAAACAUUAUCUGGACUUCUUUCCUUUGUUUUAUGGAGUGAGUUUAUAAACGCUUGUUCUCCGUAACUAGUGAUUUCAAGUAUUCUGUUUUAUCUAAGAAGUACAAUGAAGGUCAUGAGAAGUCCUCUAUUAACACUUUAUCUGGACUUGCUGGCACUAGUGUAACUA
RNAcentral lists this long non-coding RNA (1338 nucleotides) under Homo sapiens (human). RNAcentral describes it as "HSALNT0116227". The record is from RNAcentral. Lineage: Eukaryota; Metazoa; Chordata; Mammalia; Primates; Hominidae.